RNAcentral lists this ribosomal RNA (253 nucleotides) under uncultured bacterium. Its description in RNAcentral is "partial 16S ribosomal RNA". It matches the Rfam family "Bacterial small subunit ribosomal RNA", at positions 524 to 776 of the family's 1533-position model. The record is from RNAcentral.
UACGAAGGGGGCUAGCGUUGCUCGGAAUGACUGGGCGUAAAGGGCGCGUAGGCGGAUGGCACAGUCAGAUGUGAAAUUCCCGGGCUUAACCUGGGGGCUGCAUUUGAUACGUGUUGUCUAGAGUGAGGAAGAGGGUUGUGGAAUUCCCAGUGUAGAGGUGAAAUUCGUAGAUAUUGGGAAGAACACCAGUGGCGAAGGCGAUCAUCUGGGGUUGUUCUGACACUGAGGAGCGAAAGCUAGGGGAGCAAACGGG